RNAcentral lists this long non-coding RNA (267 nucleotides) under Pan troglodytes (chimpanzee). Its description in RNAcentral is "long non-coding RNA NONPTRT017394". The record is from RNAcentral. Lineage: Eukaryota; Metazoa; Chordata; Mammalia; Primates; Hominidae.
CAGUGUUUUUGAAAAGUCCUGUGGCUGCGGUCCUCUACAGUUAUCUUCAGUCCUUCUUCAGUGCUGUGACUGAGUGCUUGCUGAUUAUUGUGCUUGCUGAUCCUGACUAAUACUCUCUCUUGAUGAGCUUCAUAUUCAUCACGACUUGGAUAAAUUUUGCUGAUGAGUGCAUCAAACUUUGGGUCUGGCCUUGGUGAUCUUUUGGAAACCAGUUUUUUCCAACAGGUAAGAUAUUCUUUGUUGCCACUUCUAAGGGCUAUGAUGUUG